This 843-nucleotide ribosomal RNA is filed under the name Escherichia coli. RNAcentral's name for it is "partial 23S ribosomal RNA". It matches the Rfam family "Bacterial large subunit ribosomal RNA", at positions 344 to 1191 of the family's 2925-position model. Lineage: Bacteria; Pseudomonadati; Pseudomonadota; Gammaproteobacteria; Enterobacterales; Enterobacteriaceae. The record is from RNAcentral.
GGAAAGGCGCGCGAUACAGGGUGACAGCCCCGUACACAAAAAUGCACAUGCUGUGAGCUCGAUGAGUAGGGCGGGACACGUGGUAUCCUGUCUGAAUAUGGGGGGACCAUCCUCCAAGGCUAAAUACUCCUGACUGACCGAUAGUGAACCAGUACCGUGAGGGAAAGGCGAAAAGAACCCCGGCGAGGGGAGUGAAAAAGAACCUGAAACCGUGUACGUACAAGCAGUGGGAGCACGCUUCGGCGUGUGACUGCGUACCUUUUGUAUAAUGGGUCAGCGACUUAUAUUCUGUAGCAAGGUUAACCGAAUAGGGGAGCCGAAGGGAAACCGAGUCUUAACUGGGCGUUAAGUUGCAGGGUAUAGACCCGAAACCCGGUGAUCUAGCCAUGGGCAGGUUGAAGGUUGGGUAACACUAACUGGAGGACCGAACCGACUAAUGUUGAAAAAUUAGCGGAUGACUUGUGGCUGGGGGUGAAAGGCCAAUCAAACCGGGAGAUAGCUGGUUCUCCCCGAAAGCUAUUUAGGUAGCGCCUCGUGAAUUCAUCUCCGGGGGUAGAGCACUGUUUCGGCAAGGGGGUCAUCCCGACUUACCAACCCGAUGCAAACUGCGAAUACCGGAGAAUGUUAUCACGGGAGACACACGGCGGGUGCUAACGUCCGUCGUGAAGAGGGAAACAACCCAGACCGCCAGCUAAGGUCCCAAAGUCAUGGUUAAGUGGGAAACGAUGUGGGAAGGCCCAGACAGCCAGGAUGUUGGCUUAGAAGCAGCCAUCAUUUAAAGAAAGCGUAAUAGCUCACUGGUCGAGUCGGCCUGCGCGGAAGAUGUAACGGGGCUAAACCAUG